UUAAAAGUUAUUUAAUGAAGUGGGUUUUAUUAUGAUUUUUAAAUUAUUAGGGUUUGGUACUUAAUAGGAUGAAUAAGAAAAAUUAUUUGUUUAAAAGUAAUUAAUUAAUGUACCUUUUGUAUCAGGGUUUAUUAAUUCUUUAGGUUUAUUCCUAUUUCCCGAAGCUAAGGGGUCUAUUUUGCUAUUAUAACUUAUGUAGAAUAAUGAGUAUAAAUUGUAAGAUUGUAAUGAAAUGUUAAUCGUACUUUGUGAUAUCUGGUUUCUUAGGAAAUUAAUUUAAUUGAGAUUAAUUUAUUAAAUGUUUGAUUUUUAGGUCAUGUUUUGUUACAAUUAAUUUAUAUUUAGGGGGAUAAGCUCCUAAAUAUUAACUAUAUUAAUGAAAGGUUAUAAAAUUGUAUGCUUUAAAUUAGCAGUCGUAUUAUUAUGUAAUAAUUUAUUGUAAUAUUAGAAAUUUAUUAAUAAUUAGUUUAUUUAUUAAGAAAUUAAUCUUAUUUAUGUUUUUAAAUCUAUUAUGAUGAAAUUAGUAAAUUAUUAGAGUAUUUGUUGUUAAUUAAUAAAUUUAAGUAAAGGAAUUCGGCAAAUGAAUAUUCGCCUGUUUAACAAAAACAUGGUGGUUAGUUUAUUAAUUUAACAUCUGGCCUGCCCACUGAUAUUGAAGGGCCGCAGUAUAUUGACUGUGCAAAGGUAGCAUAAUCAUUAGGUUCUUAAUUAGGAUCUGGAAUGAAGGGUUUAACGAAAUAUUAACUGUCUCUGUUUAAUAGAUUUAAUUUAACUUUUUAGUAAAAAGGCUAGGAUUUGGAUGAGGGACGAGAAGACCCUAUAGAGCUUAAUAUUUACUUUAUAAUAAUCACUUAGAUUUGAAUAAAUUAGUAUUAGGUAAUUAUUUUACUGGGGCGGUAUAAAGAUAAUUUUAACUCUUAUUUUGUUAAUAACAAUGAUUAAGUAAUUGAAUCAUAAUAAUGAUUUUAGAUAAAGUUACCUUAGGGAUAACAGCGUAAUUUAUUUGGAGAGUUCAUAUUGAUAAAUAUGUUUGCGACCUCGAUGUUGAAUUAAGAUUUCAGAGGAAUGGAGCAGUUUCUAUUGAGAGUCUGUUCGACUCUAAAAUUCUUACAUGAUUUGAGUUCAGACCGGCGCGAGCCAGGUUGGUUUCUAUCUUCAUUUUUAUAUUAAAUUUUAGUACGAAAGGACCAUAUUUAAUAAAUAAUUUAUGAAUUUGAAUACCAUA
Molecule: ribosomal RNA, 1225 nt
Filed under: Myrmecophilus sp.
Lineage: Eukaryota; Metazoa; Arthropoda; Insecta; Orthoptera; Myrmecophilidae
Description: 16S ribosomal RNA
Rfam family: Archaeal large subunit ribosomal RNA (bases 545-1225)
Source: RNAcentral